Molecule: ribosomal RNA, 763 nt
Filed under: uncultured Streptococcus sp.
Lineage: Bacteria; Bacillati; Bacillota; Bacilli; Lactobacillales; Streptococcaceae
Description: bacterial SSU rRNA
Rfam family: Bacterial small subunit ribosomal RNA
Source: RNAcentral
GACGAACGCUGGCGGCGUGCCUAAUACAUGCAAGUAGAACGCUGAAGGAGGAGCUUGCUUCUUCGGAUGAGUUGCGAACGGGUGAGUAACGCGUAGGUAACCUGCCUGGUAGCGGGGGAUAACUAUUGGAAACGAUAGCUAAUACCGCAUAACAGUAGAUGUUGCAUGACAUUUGCUUAAAAGGUGCAAUUGCAUCACUACCAGAUGGACCUGCGUUGUAUUAGCUAGUUGGUGGGGUAACGGCUCACCAAGGCGACGAUACAUAGCCGACCUGAGAGGGUGAUCGGCCACACUGGGACUGAGACACGGCCCAGACUCCUACGGGAGGCAGCAGUAGGGAAUCUUCGGCAAUGGACGGAAGUCUGACCGAGCAACGCCGCGUGAGUGAAGAAGGUUUUCGGAUCGUAAAGCUCUGUUGUAAGAGAAGAACGAGUGUGAGAGUGGAAAGUUCACACUGUGACGGUAUCUUACCAGAAAGGGACGGCUAACUACGUGCCAGCAGCCGCGGUAAUACGUAGGUCUCGAGCGUUGUCCGGAUUUAUUGGGCGUAAAGCGAGCGCAGGCGGUUAGAUAAGUCUGAAGUUAAAGGCUGUGGCUUAACCAUAGUACGCUUUGGAAACUGUUUAACUCGAGUGCAAGAGGGGAGAGUGGAAUUCCAUGUGUAGCGGUGAAAUGCGUAGAUAUAUGGAGGAACACCGGUGGCGAAAGCGGCUCUCUGGCUUGUAACUGACGCUGAGGCUCGAAAGCGUGGGGAGCAAACAGG